Molecule: ribosomal RNA, 546 nt
Filed under: Triticum aestivum (bread wheat)
Lineage: Eukaryota; Viridiplantae; Streptophyta; Magnoliopsida; Poales; Poaceae
Description: partial small subunit ribosomal RNA
Source: RNAcentral
AUGGACAUGACAGUUGCAUACUUUGAGAGGCAGCAAGAUGAGAAUCCUGAAUUCUACUUUGCCAAAACAGUUGAUGAGGAAACAAACUCUGUCACGGGGCUGUUUUGGGUUGAUGGGAGGACAAGGGCAUUGUACCCUAAGUACAAAGAUUGCAUCUUCUUUGACACCACCUUUUGCACAAAUAGGUAUAACAUGUUGUUUGCUUCGAUUGUCGGCGUCAACAACCAUUUGUAGACAAUUUUGCUGGGGUGUGCUUUGCUUCCGAAUGAACAGAUUGAAAAUUUCAAGUGGGUGUUCCAGCACCUUUUGAUUGCGAUGAACAAUGAACACCCAUUGAACAUCAUGACAGACCAGGACAAGGCAAUGGAAACAGCCAUUUCUGAAGCCUUACCAAAUACAGUGCAUAGAUGUUGCAAAUGGCAUGUCCAGCGGAAAGCGAGGGAGAAGUUGGGUAGAAUACUCAGCAGGGAUGAAGUUUUUGAGCAAGCUUUCUACACAUGCAUCAACGAUCCGGACACGGUUGAUGAGUUUGAGGAGAACUGGUAG